GCUCAGAACUUAAAGGAAUUGACGGGGCCGCACAAGCGGUGGAGUAUGUGGUUUAAUUCGAUGCAACGCGAAGAACCUUACCUGGUCUUGACAUCCCGGAGACCCUUAGGAAACUAGGGGGUGCUUCCAUCUGGAAGAAUCUGGAGACAGGUGCUGCAUGGCUGUCGUCAGCUCGUGUCGUGAGAUGUUGGGUUAAGUCCCGCAACGAGCGCAACCCUUGCCUUUAGUUGCCAGCAGUUCGGCUGGGCACUCUAAAGGGACUGCCGGUGUUAAACCGGAGGAAGGUGGGGAUGACGUCAAGUCCUCAUGGCCUUUAUGACCAGGGCUACACACGUACUACAAUGGCCGAUACAAAGGGCAGCGACACUGCGAGGUGAAGCCAAUCCCGUAAAAUCGGUCUCAGUCCGGAUUGGAGUCUGCAACUCGACUCCAUGAAGUUGGAAUCGCUAGUAAUCGUGGAUCAGCAUGCCACGGUGAAUACGUUCCCGGGCCUU
Molecule: ribosomal RNA, 494 nt
Filed under: uncultured Desulfobulbus sp.
Lineage: Bacteria; Pseudomonadati; Thermodesulfobacteriota; Desulfobulbia; Desulfobulbales; Desulfobulbaceae
Description: bacterial SSU rRNA
Rfam family: Bacterial small subunit ribosomal RNA
Source: RNAcentral